This 301-nucleotide ribosomal RNA is filed under the name uncultured bacterium. RNAcentral describes it as "partial 16S ribosomal RNA". It matches the Rfam family "Bacterial small subunit ribosomal RNA", at positions 509 to 808 of the family's 1533-position model. The record is from RNAcentral.
CAGUAGCCGCGGUAAUACGUAUGUCACAAGCGUUAUCCGGAUUUAUUGGGCGUAAAGCGCGUCUAGGUGGUUAUGUAAGUCUGAUGUGAAAAUGCAGGGCUCAACUCUGUAUUGCGUUGGAAACUGUGUAACUAGAGUACUGGAGAGGUAAGCGGAACUACAAGUGUAGAGGUGAAAUUCGUAGAUAUUUGUAGGAAUGCCGAUGGGGAAGCCAGCUUACUGGACAGAUACUGACGCUGAAGCGCGAAAGCGUGGGUAGCAAACAGGAUUAGAUACCCCGGUAGUCCCUGUCUCUUAUACA